AAUUGAGUUAUUCAUAAAAUGUGUUACGAUUAUACCUUCAAAAUCACUAAUUGAUUGUUGUUCAAAAUUUGAAUAUCCCCAAUUCAGUUUUGAGUAAUUUUGGAUAGCCAAUAUACAGAUGAAAACUAAAACUCGAUUAUUCAGCUCUGUAUAAAAAGUUUGCUGCUUGUUGGAAAGCUUUGGACGGGGAUGUCAAAGCAUACACAUUUUUCAAAUUCGCUACCGAUUGUCACGAUGAUUUCAAUUUUCAUAGUUUUUGCAUUGAAAUUAUCGUGAAUAUCUAACGAAAGGUAUGUAUUCUUAUGAUUUUACUGCAAUGUUUGACCUUAACUAUGAUUUCAGGGAUAUUGUCCAGCACUGUUGCUGAAUUCGGAUGUUUCCCUUAAUCGGUCUUCACAGUAGUCGGAAGAAGGAAUCGGUCGUGCAAGAAACUGUUCCGGAAAGUCGAAAGAAUCCAUCUGAACGUCUCAAUAUUUCUUCUUAAAAUAUUGAAGUUCUUAUUCACAACGAGCGCACAAAAUUUCCCAGAAUAGAAAAAAAGGAUUCAAAGGUAAAUGCACCUUAACAUGGAGGUCACAUCACGAUGUAAAUCGAGAAGAUGCCAGUAAAACGUACCCGCCUGCCGAAUGCCAUUCGAUUCUGUCGGCUUGUGGGCAACUCAUCGGAAAUGUUCAAAAGAUACACUACAUACUCUGGUGGAUCGUAAGCAAAUCCGUGCCGGAUGAUGGGACUGGUGUCCCGGAUUGAUUUAUUCGACCUUCCAAAAGAAAAGUAAUCGGAGACGGCAAGGAAACACGAAGCUUUGUAGCAGAAGAUGAGGAACAAUCUUCGACGACGAGCGCCACAAAGGAAUCGCAAAUGACGACCAAACACUUAGCUUGCAGGCGUUGAAGCUAUAUGGAUCCGUUAACACCGUUCAAA
This is a long non-coding RNA of Uranotaenia lowii, 921 nucleotides long. RefSeq lists it as uncharacterized. Lineage: Eukaryota; Metazoa; Arthropoda; Insecta; Diptera; Culicidae. The record is from RefSeq and is a predicted model, not a curated record. The transcript has 4 exons.